This 291-nucleotide long non-coding RNA is filed under the name Elaeis guineensis (African oil palm). RNAcentral's name for it is "long non-coding RNA (EGUI_LNC024843)". Lineage: Eukaryota; Viridiplantae; Streptophyta; Magnoliopsida; Arecales; Arecaceae. The record is from RNAcentral.
GAUGGCCCACUUUGGUCGACAUCACAGCUUUUGUCAGCCUCCACUCGCCUCUUCCCCAUUACUUAGAAAAAGUGAGCCACCAGUUUAGGUAUAAGAUACUAUCAUUACUGUCUGGACAAUUAGACAUCGAAUCCUUAAUCAGAGGAUAUCUUAUUGCAUUCUGAGCGGCCAUCUAAGUGAAGAUUGGAGUGUUUCCAGCAACGAUGGAUAAUGAGCUCUUGUGGGUUGCAAGGCCUACAUUCAAUCUUCCAGUUCGGCCUGAGAAUGGAGCCAUUCUCUUCCGUACGAAGG